UGUGCCAGCCGCCGCGGUAAUACGAAGGGGGCUAGCGUUGCUCGGAAUCACUGGGCGUAAAGGGUGCGUAGGCGGGUUUCUAAGUCAGAGGUGAAAGCCUGGAGCUCAACUCCAGAACUGCCUUUGAUACUGGAAGUCUUGAGUAUGGCAGAGGUGAGUGGAACUGCGAGUGUAGAGGUGAAAUUCGUAGAUAUUCGCAAGAACACCAGUGGCGAAGGCGGCUCACUGGGCCAUUACUGACGCUGAGGCACGAAAGCGUGGGGAGCAAACAGGAUUAGAUACCCCGGUAGUCC
Molecule: ribosomal RNA, 293 nt
Filed under: uncultured bacterium
Lineage: Bacteria
Description: partial 16S ribosomal RNA
Rfam family: Bacterial small subunit ribosomal RNA
Source: RNAcentral